Molecule: ribosomal RNA, 125 nt
Filed under: Umbelopsis nana
Lineage: Eukaryota; Fungi; Mucoromycota; Umbelopsidomycetes; Umbelopsidales; Umbelopsidaceae
Description: partial small subunit ribosomal RNA
Rfam family: Eukaryotic small subunit ribosomal RNA
Source: RNAcentral
CCUUUGUACACACCGCCCGUCGCUACUACCGAUUGAACGGCUUAGUGAGUCCUUUGGAUUGUUGGAAACUGAUUGGCAACAGUCGGUUUCUGACGAGAAGUUGGGCAAACUUGGUCGUUUAGAGG